UGAAGCCUUUACAGCAGAAGCCGUAGUCUUUAUAUUUUGAAAAGCAUUGUGGUUUGUGAAAGAAAAGAUUUCUUCACAUUGAAGGAGUUGAGAAAGAUGUGACUUGUUUGCUUUGCCUGAUGGUCACUGAUGGGACUUCUGCUCAGUACUGUGGGACUUGGCCAAGAUCUGAGUAACCACAUGUGCCAAAGCAAAAAUAUUGUGGUGGAGCCCAAGCUAGUGAUGAAGACUGUGCAAGAUGUGAAGAAGUGAAAUUAAAACCUGACCUGGUUUUUAGAGAUCUCCAAAUUUGAGGGCUGCUUCCACCUGAAUCUCUGCUCUGGGAAAUGUCUCUGUAACCAUUGUUCUAUCACCGACACGGAUCCACCUGUCAGCCUCAUGUUUAGAGGCAUUACUUCAUUGUUGCACUGGCACUGCUGGAGAGCUAUCUGCUCCUCAUCAGGACAUCUGGCUGUGGGAAAGAGCGUGCUCUGUUCCUCCACUGUAAGCAGAUUAAUGUGCUUGGUUUAACAACCUGCUUGAGAUUUAACUAUUAAUAAUUUUUGUUUCCUACUGCUACUUUUUCAGUUUGGAUACACUUUUACCAGCAAAGCCUGAGUGUUGUGCAGAAGCAUUCAGGAGGUAUAUAAACAAGGUCAUAAGGUCUUUGCGUGUGCCUUUAGAGGAAUUAAAGCUGAAUUGAGUCCUACAAGUGGAAAGCAAAAUUGAAAAUGUGUAUACUUCAGUGUGCUUUUCCAAGAACAGGAUCUUCUUAACAGCAGGCAACAAAAGCUGCAGAAGUAGCUAUGUUGCUUUGCAGAGAGGAUAUGACAGUGCUAUUUUCUCAUUGUGCAAAUCAAACAAUGUCUGCUUCAUAUCAGGCCCUCUGGUGCAGCCCCAUUGUUUGCUGCUAUUCCUGAUGUCCCUCGGCCACCUCGGCCUUGUACAGGGAGCUCAGAUUCUUCCUCUGGCUGGGACUUAGCACAGAGAAAGCCCUGCAGCUGACAAGGGCAGAUCUGCUCCUGCCUCUUGUCAUUGGGUAGGUCAGUCUGCGAGAAAAAGGUUGGCUUUUUCACUGCGGAGGUGCUCAUGGGCUGGGAUUUUGGUGGCCAGUCUAGCCACCUUCAUAUAAGAUGUCUAUUGCUAACUACAGCUAGCUCUCCUCAUGUGAUGCUGUGGAAACAUUACAAUGUUUUGACCGUUUUCUUUAUUACCUUAUUGAAGAGAAGUGUCCCAAAUGUAUGUGGUGACAUCCACAGUUAUUUCUUUCUUCUUGUCCUUGAUUAUUUUUUAGCAACGUGUGAGUGGGAAGAAAAAACUCCAGGAGAUCAAGCUGUACAGUAAUUAAACCCAUGCUAAAUAUUAAAUGAAGCUGUUUAACCCUAUUUUAAUGCAGUAUGCUGAAUUUUAUGUGACUGCUUAUUUGGAUGCAAACUCACUGAGUUUUGUUGAAGCUAAUGAUAAUCUUUUUCUAGACUACUUGACCAUGUAAGAAUAGCAGUGACUUGGUUCCAGGAUCAGAUAGAGCAAAUAAAUCUAAGAAAACAUUUUCACUGUCACUAGGCUUAUUUUGUUGAACCGUAAUUUAAAAAUGCAUUUAUCAUCGCUUGCUUAUCAAGAUGCAUUUCACAUGGUGAUUAGCCUGAAAUGGAGGAGUUUCUCAGAUGAAUAUCUGCUGUGCCACAGGAAUGGCAGGUUAGAAGUCAGGACUCUAGGGACUAAAUCAUGGUCCCUUUGAAACCGAUAGGCAUCUUGCCAGUCACGUUGGAUUCUGUGCUGUUUUGCUGUUUCACAUGGAUUUUGUUCUUGAUUCUUAUCAGCAACUUGCUCUGAGACCUCAGAAAGUUAUUUAACUGUUCUGACCUUUUACUUUCUGCAGCAGUAUUUUACAACCCUUUGUAUUAUUUAUAAUAUAUUGAGGUAUAAAUCUCUAAUUUAUCUCUAAUGUAUAAUACUUAAACACAAAGAUGACCAAACAUCCCUCUGUGAUUGCUCU
Meleagris gallopavo (turkey) is the source of this 1975-nucleotide non-coding RNA. The record is from RefSeq and is a predicted model, not a curated record. NCBI's taxonomy places the organism in Eukaryota, Metazoa, Chordata, Aves, Galliformes, Phasianidae.